RNAcentral lists this long non-coding RNA (699 nucleotides) under Ananas comosus (pineapple). RNAcentral describes it as "long non-coding RNA (ACOM_LNC006591)". Lineage: Eukaryota; Viridiplantae; Streptophyta; Magnoliopsida; Poales; Bromeliaceae. The record is from RNAcentral.
GAUAUCUAUAUAAUAAUUUUUCUUCUCCUAUAGUUCUUUCUGUUUUUCGUUGAAUUAUAAUUCUAUUCUAAAAACUUUAAUAUAUUUGUAUUACAACAACAAUGGUGUAUAGCGAUACUUUUAAAUAUCGGUAUAGGUCAAGAAAAGUGCUACUGGCUAAAUUACCGACACUUUUAAAAAGUGUUACUAUAUGUAGGGCCACUAGGUAUAUAGUGACAUUUUAAGAGUAUCGAUAUGACCUAAAAAGAAUGCUGCUAAUUUACCAAUAUUUAUUUAAGCAAUUAAUAACCGCUGGAACCCUACCUCGUCGGCUGCGGCGACGGAGGAGGAAAGCGAAGGGCUCAUUGUCUAGGGUUUCAUUGGAUUGAGUGAAUGGAAAAUUAAGGAGAGAUGGUGAUCAAAUUAUUUUUUUUUUUCUUUUCUGUUUAUAAUCGGACCGAAUGAGCUCGAUUGGGUGGGUUGAGGAGAGUAACAUUUUAUUUUUUGUUGGAUUAGGCUUUAUAUUUAGACCUUAAGAUUUUUUUAAAAAUUUUGGUAUAAAUGACACACUUACACAAAAGUGUCCCAAAUAUGUGUCGCUAUAAUCUAAUUUUAUUGUAAUAUUUUUAUAUUAUUAAAUUUAAUCAAAUAUAAUUAUAUCCUUCUUUUUUUUCACUUCCCAUAUUUAUUUAUUUUUAUUAAAAAUUUUUAUCCGUCAUU